GACGAACGCUGGCGGCGUGCUUAACACAUGCAAGUCGAACGGUAAGGCCCUUCGGGGUACACGAGUGGCGAACGGGUGAGUAACACGUGGGUGAUCUGCCCUGCACUUCGGGAUAAGCCUGGGAAACUGGGUCUAAUACCGGAUAGGACCACUGCCUGCAUGGGUGGUGGUGGAAAGCUUUUGCGGUGUGGGAUGGGCCCGCGGCCUAUCAGCUUGUUGGUGGGGUGAUGGCCUACCAAGGCGACGAAGGGUAGCCGGCCUGAGAGGGUGACGAGCCACACUGGGCCUAGGAGACGGCCCAGCCGCCUACGGGAGGCAGAAGUGGGGAAUAUUGCACAAUGGGCGCAAGCCUGAUGCAGCGGCGCCGCGUGAGGGAUGACGGCCUUCGGGUUGUAAACCUCUUUCAGCACCGACGAAGCGCAAGUGACGGUAGGUGCAGAAGAAGGACCGGCCAACUACGUGCCAGCCGCCGCGGUAA
This 478-nucleotide ribosomal RNA is filed under the name uncultured bacterium. RNAcentral's name for it is "partial 16S ribosomal RNA". It matches the Rfam family "Bacterial small subunit ribosomal RNA", at positions 28 to 523 of the family's 1533-position model. The record is from RNAcentral.